Molecule: ribosomal RNA, 258 nt
Filed under: uncultured bacterium
Lineage: Bacteria
Description: partial 16S ribosomal RNA
Rfam family: Bacterial small subunit ribosomal RNA
Source: RNAcentral
CCGGCGCACGGGUGAGUAACACGUAUCCAACCUGCCGAUGACUCGGGGAUAGCCUUUCGAAAGAAAGAUUAAUACCCGAUGGCAUAGUUCUUCCGCAUGGUAGAACUAUUAAAGAAUUUCGGUCAUCGAUGGGGAUGCGUUCCAUUAGCUUGUUGGCGGGGUAACGGCCCACCAAGGCAUCGAUGGAUAGGGGUUCUGAGAGGAAGGUCCCCCACAUUGGAACUGAGACACGGUCCAAACUCCUACGGAAGGCAGCAG